UGGCGAACGGGUGAGUAACACGUGGGCAACCUGCCCAAAAGAGGGGGAUAACACUUGGAAACAGGUGCUAAUACCGCAUAACCAUAGUUACCGCAUGGUAACUAUGUAAAAGGUGGCUAUGCUACCGCCUUUGGAUGGGCCCGCGGCGCAUUAGCUAGUUGGUGGGGUAAAGGCUUACCAAGGCAAUGAUGCGUAGCCGAACUGAGAGGUUGAUCGGCCACAUUGGGACUGAGACACGGCCCAAACUCCUACGGAAGGCAGCAG
RNAcentral lists this ribosomal RNA (264 nucleotides) under uncultured bacterium. Its description in RNAcentral is "partial 16S ribosomal RNA". It matches the Rfam family "Bacterial small subunit ribosomal RNA", at positions 96 to 354 of the family's 1533-position model. The record is from RNAcentral.